Molecule: long non-coding RNA, 717 nt
Organism: Homalodisca vitripennis (glassy-winged sharpshooter)
Lineage: Eukaryota; Metazoa; Arthropoda; Insecta; Hemiptera; Cicadellidae
Exons: 2
Source: RefSeq, a predicted model, not a curated record
UGUGUGAGACUAUUAACUGCAAUGUCAGUUCGUUUAAAAUUGUUCGUAGUAUGCUAAAGAUUUCCGUACACAUACAUAUAAACAAGUAGUCUCUCAUUUAACAUUUACACAAUUUGCUGUAUUUAGAUAAUAUAAUUUAUAUAGUUUUAAUAGUUAAAUUAAACUAGUAAAUGAACUGUGCAAAUAGAUUUAAACAUUUUUCAACUUUCAGUGACAAUUUACUUGUUUGGUAUUUUCAGACAAGAAAUUAUAUUUUGAUUAUGAGAUUUCAAAACAUAACUCAAUGAUUUAUUCGUUACUUAAUUUGUUAGGGCGAUGACUAAUUGUUAUUAAUUGAACAGAUCUUGUUCUUACUGAUUAUAAGUAACUGCUACGUACCACUAACAGUAUUGUGACAAUACUCUGACUUGAUAGUUGCACUCAUUCUUUGAGAAUAAGAAUCAGAACAAAUUUUUAUUCAGAUUAAUUAUGAGUCAAACUGAUCCUGACGAUAUUUGUCUUCUGGUUGAUGACGACUGCCAUAGGCCUACCAGAAGUCAGAAGAUUGCUAGAGGAGCUGCUUUCCUACUGCAACAGCAGACCUCUCAUCUCUCACCAGUGGUUACAGGCUGUGUACUCAUUGUAUCUCUUGUAUCAAUUUUUCUCCUUGUUUUGUGUGUUGUAUUGAACAUUUAUGAAGAAUAAAUUUAGUGUUAUAAAUUAUGCAUAAAAAUUCUA